Molecule: ribosomal RNA, 374 nt
Filed under: uncultured bacterium
Lineage: Bacteria
Description: bacterial SSU rRNA
Rfam family: Bacterial small subunit ribosomal RNA
Source: RNAcentral
UACGAAGGGGGCUAGCGUUGUUCGGAAUCACUGGGCGUAAAGCGUACGUAGGCGGACCUGUAAGUCAGGGGUGAAAUCCCGGGGCUCAACCUCGGAAUUGCCCUUGAUACUGCCGGUCUUGAGUUCGGGAGAGGUGAGUGGAACUGCUAGUGUAGAGGUGAAAUUCGUAGAUAUUAGCAAGAACACCAGUGGCGAAGGCGGCUCACUGGCCCGAUACUGACGCCGAGGUACGAAAGCGUGGGGAGCAAACAGGAUUAGAUACCCUGGUAGUCCACGCUGUAAACGAUGAAUGCCAGCCGUUGGGCAGCAUGCUGUUCGGUGGCACAGCUAACGCAUUAAGCAUUCCGCCUGGGGAGUACGGUCGCAAGAUUAAA